GAAUAUUAGUCAAUGCUCGCAAGAGUGAACUAGCUAACUGAAAUCAUAAAAUCAUUAAUAGUGGUGAUAUGAUAACGUAAGGGAAAAAAAAUGAUAUAACCUUACUAUUAGUGUUGUCCAAAGCUGGUGCCAGAAGACUCGGUAAGACCAGAGACGCAAACGUUAAUCGUCCUAAUCAGGCGUAAAGGGUAUGUAGGCUGCUUUGAAAGUUUUAUUUAUAAUAGCUCUACUUAGUUAAAUCUAAGCUAGAUAAUAUAAAAUGAAUUAAAGCUAGAAUCAUAAAGAGGAUAAACCAAAUAAUACUUAGAGUAGGGAUGAUAUCUUCAGAUACUAAGGGGAAUACUAACGGUGAAAGCUUUUUAUCUAAUAAUGAUUGACGCUGAGAAACGAAGGUGAGAAUAGGAAAUAGGAUUAGAUACCCAGAUACCUCUCACUGUCAACGAUGAAUGGUGGUUGUUAGUAAUAAUAAAACUAGUAACGAUGUUAACACGAUAACCAUUCCGCCUUGCGAGUACGGUUGCAAAACUGAAACCAAAAAAAUUAGUCGGUCUCGGAGCAAACGAAGUGAAGCAUGUUAUUUAAUU
RNAcentral lists this ribosomal RNA (584 nucleotides) under Clitopilus aff. hobsonii DLL9586. Its description in RNAcentral is "SSU rRNA". It matches the Rfam family "Bacterial small subunit ribosomal RNA", at positions 359 to 951 of the family's 1533-position model. Lineage: Eukaryota; Fungi; Basidiomycota; Agaricomycetes; Agaricales; Entolomataceae. The record is from RNAcentral.